Molecule: ribosomal RNA, 253 nt
Filed under: uncultured bacterium
Lineage: Bacteria
Description: partial 16S ribosomal RNA
Rfam family: Bacterial small subunit ribosomal RNA
Source: RNAcentral
UACGUAGGGCGCAAGCGUUGUCCGGAUUUAUUGGGCGUAAAGAGCUCGUAGGCGGUCUGUCGCGUCGGAUGUGAAAACCCGGAGCUCAACUCCGGGCCUGCAUUCGAUACGGGCAGACUUGAGUACUGCAGGGGAGACUGGAAUUCCUGGUGUAGCGGUGGAAUGCGCAGAUAUCAGGAGGAACACCGGUGGCGAAGGCGGGUCUCUGGGCAGAAACUGACGCUGAGGAGCGAAAGCGUGGGGAGCGAACAGG